UACGAAGGGGGCUAGCGUUGCUCGGAAUCACUGGGCGUAAAGCGCACGUAGGCGGCUUUUUAAGUCGGUGGUGAAAUCCUGGAGCUCAACUCCAGAACUGCCUUUGAUACUGGAGAGCUUGAGUCCGGAAGAGGUGAGUGGAACUCCGAGUGUAGAGGUGAAAUUCGUAGAUAUUCGGAAGAACACCAGUGGCGAAGGCGGCUCACUGGUCCGGUACUGACGCUGAGGUGCGAAAGCGUGGGGAGCAAACAGG
RNAcentral lists this ribosomal RNA (253 nucleotides) under uncultured bacterium. Its description in RNAcentral is "partial 16S ribosomal RNA". It matches the Rfam family "Bacterial small subunit ribosomal RNA", at positions 524 to 776 of the family's 1533-position model. The record is from RNAcentral.